This 76-nucleotide transfer RNA is filed under the name Deltaproteobacteria bacterium HGW-Deltaproteobacteria-22. Its description in RNAcentral is "tRNA-Asn". It matches the Rfam family "tRNA". From Rfam's summary of the family: Transfer RNA (tRNA) molecules are approximately 80 nucleotides in length. Their secondary structure includes four short double-helical elements and three loops (D, anti-codon, and T loops). RNAcentral also lists the same sequence under 1 other name. Lineage: Bacteria; Deltaproteobacteria. The record is from RNAcentral.
GCCUGUUUAGCUCAGUCGGUAGAGCAAGCGGCUGUUAACCGCUAGGCCGUAGGUUCAAGUCCUACAACAGGCGCCA